RNAcentral lists this ribosomal RNA (922 nucleotides) under uncultured bacterium. Its description in RNAcentral is "bacterial SSU rRNA". It matches the Rfam family "Bacterial small subunit ribosomal RNA", at positions 8 to 916 of the family's 1533-position model. The record is from RNAcentral.
AGAGUUUGAUCAUGGCUCAGGAUGAACGCUAGCGGCAGGCUUAAUACAUGCAAGUUGAGGGGCAGCAUGAUAUACGCGAGUAUAUUGAUGGCGACCGGCGGACGGGUGAGUAAUAGGUAGGAGACCUACCUCAUACAGGGGGAUAGCAUAGAGAAAUCUGUGGUAAUACCCCAUGAGGUUAUAUGAAUAGAGGCAUAUAAUCAAAGCAUAAGCGAUUAUGCGGUAUGAGAGGGGCCUACUGACCAUUAGCUAGUUGGUGAGGUAAGGGCUCACCAAGGCGAAGAUGGUUAGGGGUUUUGAGAGAGAGACCCCCCACAUUGGAACUGAGAGACGGUCCAGACUCCUACGGGAGGCAGCAGUAGGGAAUAUUGGGCAAUGGGCGAAAGCCUGACCCAGCCAUGCCGCGUGAAGGAAGACGGCCUUAUGGGUUGUAAACUUCUUUACUACGCGAAUAGAGGUUAGUACGAGAUACUAAUAGGAAGGUAGUGUAGUAAAAAGCACCGGCUAACUCCGUGCCAGCAGCCGCGGUAAUACGGAGGGUGCAAGCGUUAUUCGGAAUUACUGGGUUUAAAGGGUGCGUAGGCGGUUAAAUAAGUUGUCAGUGAAAGGCUACGGCUCAACUGUAGUAGUGCUGGCGAUACUGUAUAACUAAGGACAUGGGAGGGGUACCUGGAAUGUGUGGUGUAGCGGUGAAAUGCGUAGAUAUCACACAGAACACCGGAGGCAAAGGCGGGGUACUAGACCAUAGUUGACGCUGAGGCACGAAAGCGUGGGGGAUCAAACAGGAUUAGAUACCCUGGUAGUCCACGCCCUAAACGAUGAUCACUAGAUAUUGGCGACAGACAGUCAGUGUCCAAGCGAAAGUGAUAAGUGAUCCACCUGGGGGAAUACGGCCGCAGGUUAAACUCAAAUGAAUUGACGG